UACGGAGGGUGCGAGCGUUGUCCGGAUUUAUUGGGUUUAAAGGGUGCGUAGGUGGCUUUUUAAGUCAGUGGUGAAAUACAGCCGCUCAACGGUUGAGGUGCCAUUGAUACUGAAGAGCUUGAAACAAGUGGAGGCUGCCGGAAUGGAUGGUGUAGCGGUGAAAUGCAUAGAUAUCAUCCAGAACACCGAUUGCGAAGGCAGGUGGCUACGUUUUGAUUUGACACUGAGGCACGAAAGCAUGGGGAGCAAACAGG
This 254-nucleotide ribosomal RNA is filed under the name uncultured bacterium. RNAcentral's name for it is "partial 16S ribosomal RNA". It matches the Rfam family "Bacterial small subunit ribosomal RNA", at positions 524 to 776 of the family's 1533-position model. The record is from RNAcentral.